Molecule: ribosomal RNA, 253 nt
Filed under: uncultured bacterium
Lineage: Bacteria
Description: partial 16S ribosomal RNA
Rfam family: Bacterial small subunit ribosomal RNA
Source: RNAcentral
UACAGAGGUCUCAAGCGUUGUUCGGAUUCAUUGGGCGUAAAGGGUGCGUAGGCGGCGCGGUAAGUCGGGUGUGAAAUUUCGAGGCUUAACUUCGAAACUGCAUUCGAUACUGCCGUGCUAGAGGACUGGAGAGGAGACUGGAAUUUACGGUGUAGCGGUGAAAUGCGUAGAUAUCGUAAGGAAGACCAGUGGCGAAAGCGGCGUGCUGGACCACUUCUGACGCUGAGGCGCGAAGGCCAGGGGAGCAAACGGG